GUCCUCGCUUCUUCCUAAUCUUUCAUCCCUUUCUCUCAAUUUUGCCCUCCGUCCUCGGUUAUUAAGACGUGCCAUUUACUCUAGACGCUUCAGAUCUGCUCAUUUACAAACCCUAUCUCCAAUGGAAUCUUCAUUCGGCUUCCCGUUCCUCUCCAUCACCUGCAAUUCCUCUCCAUAACCUGCAACACAUGAUGUCUACUACUUUAUGUCCAGUUUUAGGGAAGUUGGAUUGGAAACCCUAAAAUACUAUGCAUCCCUUUCUUGGAAAGUCCAUAUUGGUGCCCUAAAAGUUCUUGGGUUGUGUUUGACUUCCCAUGCAGUUCGUGGCAAGAUUCUAUCUAAUUGUUGUAAAUUUGAAUGAUUUAAACAGUUUAGCGUGUUUAUUUGUGUGAAGCUACUUGGAUUAUUUAAUUAGUAGUAUAGCACGGUCUGUGCUUCGAGUUCAAAACUGAUUCUAAAGGGGAUUAAGAAAUGGAACUUUACAUGUUAUGAUUAUGAUUAUGAUGGUCAUUUUGUUGGUCAUGUGUUCUUAAUUGGGGACUAAAGAUUAGGGCCGUUCUUUUUUAUCCGAAUCCGAUAACCGAACCCGACCCGAAGAGACCCGACCCGAUAAACUACUAGGACCGAUAAACCCGAACCCGAUCUACGGUAAAAUCCGAAUCCGGUUGCCCUUAAUUGGAUUGGUAUUUGAAAGUCCGCCAAAGAUAAUCUACCGCAAACUACCUUCUAAAUCUUGCUAUCGAAGAUUUAAGUAAUUGUUUUUUAUAUUCAACACAUUCAUAUCUAUAAGAUAGAUGGACGUAAAAGUUUUUGUGGGUACGUGUUGUCCGGCACUUUUGGUCCCGUUAACACAUGCAGAAAGUUGAACACAGACUCAGGAAAAUUGAUUUGAGAGAGCUUGCAUCAGCUGAGAGCCCAUAUACUUUCGCACUUGUUUACACGCACAUCCUCAAUCAUCAACCUGAUUACCCAGCACUUCUUUCUCUGUGCUCACCUUGCAGUCUGGCAUCUAUUUUACACUGUGAUGAGUUUAAUGUUUGGCCAAUGCUGGAAUACUUAUGGACACGACUGAUGUUGCUGGUGAACAUACGCUAAGGGUCAUGUUUGAAGGUGUUGUUACCUUGCAUGUACUUAUAAUUAGAGGAAUUCGAGUAUUGUUCAUAUUUCAUAGUUGCUCCUAGGUAACGAAAUCAACUGUUGAUAGCUUCUAUUCUUUG
Molecule: long non-coding RNA, 1217 nt
Organism: Helianthus annuus (common sunflower)
Lineage: Eukaryota; Viridiplantae; Streptophyta; Magnoliopsida; Asterales; Asteraceae
Exons: 5
Source: RefSeq, a predicted model, not a curated record